CCGUCCAGGACCGGGGGCGAGCCCGAGGUCUCUCCUGGCUUCCUGCACGAGCUUUGAAAACCGAGGUGGAAGCAGCCAGGCCACGGAGCGCUGAGGGGGAGCAGGAGCGGCAGGCGGAGGCGACCGGCACGGCCACCGACUUGGGUGAGGAAGUGCCUCUCUUGCGCCCGCGCGUAAUUCCACCCCACGGAGCCAGCAGGGUUCCAGCCCUCGCAUCCGCGUCCCCUUGGCUGACCGACGCCUCCCUUCUGCUGCCAGCGCCGGGCCGUGGACCUGCCCUCG
RNAcentral lists this long non-coding RNA (282 nucleotides) under Dasypus novemcinctus (nine-banded armadillo). RNAcentral describes it as "lncRNA (ENSDNOG00000050262.1)". Lineage: Eukaryota; Metazoa; Chordata; Mammalia; Cingulata; Dasypodidae. The record is from RNAcentral.